CAGCGCACACAAAUAUAACCAAAAAAAAUUACAAUCUACAAUAUUUUUGAAAUAUGUGAUACCCCAGAAAUAUUUGAUCCGGGAGAAUAUCCACACAAUAUCUUAACACGCAAUAACUUUGAAAAACCUAGAUUAUUCACCUCUCUAUAUAUACCGACGAUUAAGAAGAAGCUAACAUCCAUUUACAACUCAUAAUGGCAUGAUACCCCAAGAAAUAUGGUUUUUAUCGACGAUCUCAAGCCCUACAAAGACGAAUGGCGAGUUCGUGUCAAAGCUCUUCAUUCUUGGAAACCGAAACCCAUUUUUGGAGGGGAGACUCUUGAUUUCAUACUAGCACACAAGACUUUAUAAGCUUCAUGUGUUAGUGAAAUAUGACACUUGAUCAUCCGAGUUAAUGUUGCUUGAUACUGUGGCUACAAGUAUUAUUGGUGAUAAAGUUGUUGAACUUUGGGACAGGUCAUAUGAUGAGAUUGAAGACCAAGAUAUUCCUAUCCAAAACAUGGUAGGAAAAUCGUUUUGUUUUGGGCUUUCCAUCACCGCUGAUAAUGUGACCAACGGAUCAGCUACAUUUAAGUUUGUUGUUUGGCUUUUUUGUUUCAUGUUGUUUUUGGAAUUUCUGGAUUUUGUUUGGAUUUCGUUUUUUUCAAUACUUUUCAUUUAAAUUCUAUUUUUAAUCAAUAAACUUGGCUUUUACUAAUAAUCAUGUCAACCAGUUAAACUAAGACCAUAGUAAUGUACAAGUCGAUUCCAUAAUUACCUUACCAGCAACUUAGCAUGUAACACUCUCACUAUAAUUUUUUGUAUAGUACUACAAUAGGUAUAAUUAACUCAUAAUCAUUUCGA
This is a long non-coding RNA of Brassica napus (rape), 843 nucleotides long. RefSeq lists it as uncharacterized. The record is from RefSeq and is a predicted model, not a curated record. Lineage: Eukaryota; Viridiplantae; Streptophyta; Magnoliopsida; Brassicales; Brassicaceae. The transcript is spliced from 3 exons.